CUAAGAAUAUUCCGCAAUGGAGGAAACUCUGACGGAGCGACGCCGCGUGGAUGAUGAAGGUCGGAAGAUUGUAAAAAUCCUUUUAUGACUGAGGAAUAAGUACGUUGAGAGAAACGGCGUAUGGUGACUGUAGGUCAUGAAUAAGCAACGGCUAAUUACGUGCCAGCAGCCGCGGUAACACGUAAGUUGCGAGCGUUGUUCGGAAUUAUUGGGCGUAAAGGGCAUGUAGGCGGUAUUGCAAGCCUGGUGUGAAAGGCGGGGGCUCAACCCCUGGACUGCGCUGGGAACUGCAUUACUAGAGUCGCUGAGGGGCAAUCAGAAUUCCAGGUGUAGGGGUGAAAUGCGUAGAUAUUAGGAGGAACACCAGUGGCGAAGGCGGCUUACUGGACGAU
RNAcentral lists this ribosomal RNA (392 nucleotides) under uncultured Treponema sp. RNAcentral describes it as "bacterial SSU rRNA". It matches the Rfam family "Bacterial small subunit ribosomal RNA", at positions 355 to 737 of the family's 1533-position model. Lineage: Bacteria; Pseudomonadati; Spirochaetota; Spirochaetia; Treponematales; Treponemataceae. The record is from RNAcentral.